ACCUACGGGAGGCAGCAGUCGAGAAUCAUUCACAAUGGGGGAAACCCUGAUGGUGCGACGCCGCGUGGGGGAAUGAAGGUCUUCGGAUUGUAAACCCCUGUCAUGUGGGAGCAAAUUAAAAAGAUAGUACCACAAGAGGAAGAGACGGCUAACUCUGUGCCAGCAGCCGCGGGAAUACAGAGGUCUCAAGCGUUGUUCGGAAUCACUGGGCGUAAAGCGGGCGUAGGCUGUUUCGUAAGUCGUGUGUGAAAGGCGCGGGCGCAACCCGCGGACGGCACAUGAGACUGCGAGACUAGGGGA
Molecule: ribosomal RNA, 300 nt
Filed under: uncultured bacterium
Lineage: Bacteria
Description: bacterial SSU rRNA
Rfam family: Bacterial small subunit ribosomal RNA
Source: RNAcentral